UGAAUGUGGAUGUGUGUCGUCUGAUUCGUCUUUGACUCCCACGGCCCCAGCAUGUGCUCUACAAAUGGGAUGCACUCUGGUUAUUGAACAGUGAGGGGUGGAGGGGGGAGAAGGAAAGCAAGGGAUGCUUGGAGAUGGUCCUCUCCGGGGCAGAUAGAGGAAGAUGGACCCUUAGUGAGACCACGCGCAGAACAGGCUGGGUGAGCCACUUCCGUCCCUG
This 220-nucleotide long non-coding RNA is filed under the name Homo sapiens (human). RNAcentral describes it as "HSALNT0183953". The record is from RNAcentral. Lineage: Eukaryota; Metazoa; Chordata; Mammalia; Primates; Hominidae.